UACGUAGGGUGCGAGCGUUAAUCGGAAUUACUGGCGUAAAGCGUGCGCAGGCGGUUCUGAAAGUCAGCUGUGAAAGCCCCGGGCUUAACCUGGGAAUUGCGGUUGAAACUACAGGGCUAGAAUCUGGCAGAGGGGGGUGGAAUUCCACGUGUAGCAGUGAAAUGCGUAGAUAUCGGGAGGAACACCAGUGGCGAAGGCGACUACCUGGCCUGUUCUUGACGCUGAGGCGCGAAAGCUAGGGAGCAAACGGG
RNAcentral lists this ribosomal RNA (251 nucleotides) under uncultured bacterium. RNAcentral's name for it is "partial 16S ribosomal RNA". It matches the Rfam family "Bacterial small subunit ribosomal RNA", at positions 524 to 776 of the family's 1533-position model. The record is from RNAcentral.